AUACGUAGGGCGCGAGCGUUGUCCGGAAUGAUUGGGCGUAAAGGGCGCGUAGGCGGCCCGGUACGUCUGGAGUGAAAGUCCUGUUUUUCAGAUGGGAAUUGCUUGGGAUACUGUCGGGCUUGAGUGCCGGAGCGGAAGGUGGAAUUCCCAGUGUAGCGGUGAAAGGCGUAGAGAUUGGGAGGAACACCAGUGGCGAAGGCGACUUACUGGACUGUAACUGACGCUGAGGCGCGAAAGUGGGGGGAGCAAACAGGAUUAGAUACCCUGGUAGUCCACUCUGUAAACGAUGAAUGCUAGGUGUAGGGGGUAUCGACCCCUUCUGUGCCGCAGUCAACACAAUAAGCAUGCCGCCUGGGGAGUACGGCCGCAAGGUUGAAACUCAAAUGAAUUGACGGGG
Molecule: ribosomal RNA, 397 nt
Filed under: uncultured bacterium
Lineage: Bacteria
Description: partial 16S ribosomal RNA
Rfam family: Bacterial small subunit ribosomal RNA
Source: RNAcentral